AUUUCUAUAGUGUAAUAAACACAUAAUUUUUUCAUAAUUAAAAAGAAACAUAUUCUAGAAAUG
RNAcentral lists this transfer RNA (63 nucleotides) under Pentapycnon charcoti. Its description in RNAcentral is "tRNA-Glu". The record is from RNAcentral. Lineage: Eukaryota; Metazoa; Arthropoda; Pycnogonida; Pantopoda; Pycnogonidae.